AGAUUCUUGCACAACACAGUUUGACCUCCAAAACUGUGUCUCAGAUUUUUCCUAUUGUAUUUCAUUCUCUCAUAAAUCUACAAUGAAAUUUGCAACAAUAAUUCAAUUGGGUGUAAAAUUUGUUCUAUUGAUGUUUUUGGAAAUCUGAGACACAGUUUUGGAGGUCAAGUUGUGUUGUACCAGAAUCU
This 188-nucleotide small RNA is filed under the name Mytilus galloprovincialis (Mediterranean mussel). The record is from RNAcentral. Lineage: Eukaryota; Metazoa; Mollusca; Bivalvia; Mytilida; Mytilidae.